UACGUAGGGCGCAAGCGUUGUCCGGAAUUAUUGGGCGUAAAGAGCUCGUAGGCGGCUUGUCACGUCGGGUGUGAAAGCCCGGGGCUUAACCCCGGGUCUGCAUUCGAUACGGGCAGGCUAGAGUGUGGUAGGGGAGAUCGGAAUUCCUGGUGUAGCGGUGAAAUGCGCAGAUAUCAGGAGGAACACCGGUGGCGAAGGCGGCACUCUGGGCCGGUACUGACGCUGAGGAGCGAAAGCGUGGGUAGCAAACAGG
Molecule: ribosomal RNA, 253 nt
Filed under: uncultured bacterium
Lineage: Bacteria
Description: partial 16S ribosomal RNA
Rfam family: Bacterial small subunit ribosomal RNA
Source: RNAcentral